GCAAUGCAAUUGACAUUCAAUUUCGAUAAUACUUGGUCUGAAAAUGCGGAAGCUAAUAUGAGAGCUUUUAACAGAAUAAUAUGGCAUAGGUAGGUACCUAUGCCAUAUUAUUCUGUUCAGACUAGGUAGUCUGUGCGGAAUGAGAAGAGUCGUGGAAUGUAUGGGGCCAUAUUCCACAAUCUUCUCUUUCCGAACAGACUAUAUGGCUGUUAGCCGUUGUUCGAAGUACCUACCUAAACAAAUUAAAAAAUAUUACUUUCCACCCUAGGGUGGAAAAUGUAAUUUUCCACCCGGCUAAUACCUAUCAGCCUAAGAAAGGUGAACAUUCCGCAGGGCCGUCUUAAACUAAGAAACAAAUCAAAGUUAAUGCCACCACCCUCCCGAUUAAAACUCCAUUCGUCUGGCCCUCUAUCAAUGUCCAUAAAGAUAUAUAAUAAAUUACCACAAAAUAUAAAGGAAGAAAAGAAAGAACAUUUAUUUGUAAGAAAAUUAAAAGAAACCCUUAUAAACAAAAGCUACUACACUGUCGACGAAUAUUUAAAUGAUAAGUUUUAAGAUGUACCUAUUCUAAUAAGAUUACAAUUUUACAUUUUUAUUUGUAUUAGGUAUAAGUUAGGUUAAGUAAUAAUGCUAUGCCCUUGCAGGGCUCAUGUUUGAAACAACUCAUUUGUUAUUUAAUACCCAUAUGUACAACAUGAACGCAAAUAAAGAACUUGAACUUGAAACUAGGUAUAAUAAAUAAAUAAAUAAAUUCAUUUAUUCGCGACCACCUUCUCGCCCACAGCCUGCCUGCCUGCCUGGUAUGUUGGGGCCCUUGGGCACAUAAGAAUAUGGGGCCCUUUUGGAAAGUAAAGAAAGCGAAUUAAAACUAACAUUUUUCUACUAUGAGCUUCUAUUUAAUAUGGGUAAUCAUAUAUACCUACUGUUACUGUCUGUCCUUCGGGGCCUGGGCACGGGCCCCGCGUGUGUCCUUAUGGUAAAGACGGUACUGACAUUCCGAAUAGGAGAGAUGAAAAUAAAUUGUGUGGUCAAAAUAAAAGUAAAGACGUUUUCAUAAUAAUUUAAUGCUGAACUACGAGUAACACAUAGCUGAUCAAGCAAAUCUUGUCAGUAAAAAAAGGCGCGAAAUUAAAAAUUUUCUAUGGGCUGACAUCCCUUCGCGCCUACAUUUUUCAAAUUUGCCGCUUUUUUCUACUGACAAGAUCUGGUUAACCAGCUAUAACAAGAUGACUCGCCCCAGAAUACCGAUAGGUGUGUGACGAUUACAAUAUACGCGAAUAUCGCAAAAUAUACUUAGUUUAUUUUUCUGAGGCACUAGAUCUACUCGAUUAGCCUGCUUGCGGGUGGCAUUUACAACUAAUUAAAUAGGUACUUGCGUACAUUUAGCAAAUUCGUCAAUUUCGUCAUACUCGGAAUCAGAAAGGUAUCAUUUCGUAACAAUCCUCACCCAUCAUCAUCCAUUAGGACUAAAUAAAUACAAUAAAUAAAUAAAGGAGGGUGGGCUUAUUCGCCCUUUUGACCAAUAAGGGCAAGCGAUAUGUCACCGGAUAGGUACCGAACCGACACUAAAUUAUUGUUUUUAUAUCCCAGAUAGUAAAACGACAGUUCAAUCGUCCAACCAAUUCAAUCCAAAUACUUCCCAAUCUGCCUUCUAUUUUGUACUGAAAUGACAGUUGUAAUGUGCAAAUUCAAUAAGUAGAUUGAGCUGUCAUUUCAGGAUCUGGGAUAUAAAUAGAGCCGAGGUACAUUCCUCAUAUAUACACACACACACACACGAACAAGCACAUCAUCGUCAUAACUAUUUAAUAUUUCAGCGCUAUUAGGAUUAAUUGAUUUAUAUCAAAAAAUAAUUCUAUAAUAAAGGCAAUAAAAUACUUAUUCGCUUAUAAUAAGAUUAAUAAGGAAUUAAGGACUGGUACGCAUUACAACACAGGUAAACUUUACUCAAAUGUAACACGUUGGUAAUUAAGAAAAUAAAUAAAAAAACGUAGUAAAUAGGUUGUUUCGCGCUGGUCAUCAGCGUAGAAGUAUACCUUCUCUGCGUGUAACAGAAACUUUAGAACCUAUACUAAUAAAAGUAUAUCACAAUCUGUGCCUUGCUCACUACUCUCACUUCCUCGAGCACCAAUAUUUAUUUAUAUUACAUAUAAAA
Molecule: long non-coding RNA, 2152 nt
Organism: Cydia splendana
Lineage: Eukaryota; Metazoa; Arthropoda; Insecta; Lepidoptera; Tortricidae
Exons: 2
Source: RefSeq, a predicted model, not a curated record